This 85-nucleotide transfer RNA is filed under the name Erythrobacter sp. RNAcentral's name for it is "tRNA-Leu". It matches the Rfam family "tRNA". From Rfam's summary of the family: Transfer RNA (tRNA) molecules are approximately 80 nucleotides in length. Their secondary structure includes four short double-helical elements and three loops (D, anti-codon, and T loops). The record is from RNAcentral. RNAcentral also lists the same sequence under 2 other names. Lineage: Bacteria; Pseudomonadati; Pseudomonadota; Alphaproteobacteria; Sphingomonadales; Erythrobacteraceae.
GCGGGUGUGGCGGAAUGGUAGACGCCGGGGACUUAAAAUCCCCUGUCCCUAGGACGUGCGGGUUCGAGUCCCGCCACCCGCACCA